RNAcentral lists this long non-coding RNA (604 nucleotides) under Homo sapiens (human). Its description in RNAcentral is "HSALNT0250679". Lineage: Eukaryota; Metazoa; Chordata; Mammalia; Primates; Hominidae. The record is from RNAcentral.
GUGAAUAAUAGGCUCUUCUGUUUUGAGAAAGAAUUAAAACAAAACUUGCUAAAGCUUAUUCCUGAAACUAAGGCAGAGGGACAGAGUGGAAUCUCCAGAGUGCUGCCUAGAACAUCUCCAUUAGUAGUCAAUGCUUAGUGCAGCAAAGAACUAUGUAUCUGCGGAGUGAAGAAUAGCAGAAAAAACCAAUUCCUUCUUGAGACAGACAAUUUGGCGCAGCAGGAGGAGCACUGGAAGGGGAAUGCAGAGACCUGUUUUGGAACAGCAGUUCUAGCCUUUACCCUUGUUGGGACCUAGCUAGAAGGGGAGAGUAUUUCAAGGAAUUCACAGCACAAGAUUCAAAGGAAGCAGGCUGCUUUCUUGCAGCAAGACAAGGCAAGUUGGAAGAGAGGAUUAUUUUUCUUCUUCAAAGCUCUCACCCUCAGGAGGAUUCCUAUCAACUACUUUGGGAAAGAGUGCUGCAAAUACCGAAAGUCACAGUGGAUGUUAUGCUGGGUCAGAUUGAUGGCUAGGAGUGGGGAGCAGCUCAUAACAUUUCCUGACUAUCUUGUUGGCUUUUGGAAGACGCACGUCCAAAGCAAAUGAAAUCGGGAGUCGAGGGCGC